Molecule: transfer RNA, 75 nt
Filed under: Bacteroidetes bacterium MedPE-SWsnd-G1
Lineage: Bacteria; Pseudomonadati; Bacteroidota
Description: tRNA-Gln
Rfam family: tRNA
About the family: Transfer RNA (tRNA) molecules are approximately 80 nucleotides in length.
Source: RNAcentral
UGUCCCAUGGUGUAAUUGGUAACACACCGGUUUUUGGUACCGACAUUCAAGGUUCGAGUCCUUGUGGGACAACAA